Molecule: ribosomal RNA, 497 nt
Filed under: uncultured bacterium
Lineage: Bacteria
Description: partial 16S ribosomal RNA
Rfam family: Bacterial small subunit ribosomal RNA
Source: RNAcentral
GAUGAACGCUGGCGGCGUGCCUAAUACAUGCAAGUCGAGCGAACGGACGAGAAGCUUGCUUCUCUGAUGUUAGCGGCGGACGGGUGAGUAACACGUGGAUAACCUACCUAUAAGACUGGGAUAACUUCGGGAAACCGGAGCUAAUACCGGAUAAUAUUUUGAACCGCAUGGUUCAAAAGUGAAAGACGGUCUUGCUGUCACUUAUAGAGGGAUCCGCGCUGCAUUAGCUAGUUGGUAAGGUAACGGCUUACCAAGGCAACGAUGCAUAGCCGACCUGAGAGGGUGAUCGGCCACACUGGAACUGAGACACGGUCCAGACUCCUACGGGAGGCAGCAGUAGGGAAUCUUCCGCAAUGGGCGAAAGCCUGACGGAGCAACGCCGCGUGAGUGAUGAAGGUCUUCGGAUCGUAAAACUCUGUUAUUAGGGAAGAACAUAUGUGUAAGUAACUGUGCACAUCUUGACGGUACCUAAUCAGAAAGCCCCGGCUAACUACGUG